AUUGAACGCUGGCGGAAUGCUUUACACAUGCAAGUCGAGCGGCAGCGCGGGGGCAACCCUGGCGGCGAGCGGCGAACGGGUGAGUAACAUAUCGGAACGUACCCAGUCGUGGGGGAUAACUAUCCGAAAGGAUAGCUAAUACCGCAUACGUCCUGAGGGAGAAAGCGGGGGAUCGCAAGACCUCGCGCGAUUGGAGCGGCCGAUAUCGGAUUAGCUAGUUGGUGGGGUAAAGGCUCACCAAGGCGACGAUCCGUAGCGGGUCUGAGAGGACGACCCGCCACACUGGAGCUGAGACACGGUCCAGACUCCUACGGGAGGCAGCAGUGGGGAAUUUUGGACAAUGGGGGCAACCCUGAUCCAGCCAUUCCGCGUGAGUGAAGAAGGCC
RNAcentral lists this ribosomal RNA (386 nucleotides) under uncultured bacterium. RNAcentral describes it as "bacterial SSU rRNA". It matches the Rfam family "Bacterial small subunit ribosomal RNA", at positions 29 to 416 of the family's 1533-position model. The record is from RNAcentral.